GUUAGUUUUAUUAUUCCUGAAAAUUUGUUUGGGAUUAGUGUUCAAAUAUUUCUUUGCAAACUAUCUUUGCAAUGAUAGGGUUAAGGCAAAGAGAGAGUCUGAGAAGGUAUUUACCUAGUACACCUGUCCGUAUUCUAAAUGAGAUAAGACUGACCUUUAAGUACAUGUAGGGGGUAGUCAUAGGUGGUGGCAUUUUUCAUUCUUGUGUAUAGUAAGCUUUCUUGCCUUUUAUCAUCAUCCUAAAUGACUUCAUUGUCGUUAUACUCAUCAGAUGAACCUCAUUCCUGGAUUCUUCACUCAGGAACAGCAGUGUUUCUAUCGCUUCUGAUCUGAUCUCUAUUUC
Molecule: long non-coding RNA, 343 nt
Filed under: Bos taurus (domestic cattle)
Lineage: Eukaryota; Metazoa; Chordata; Mammalia; Artiodactyla; Bovidae
Description: long non-coding RNA NONBTAT008234
Source: RNAcentral